UUUCUCUAAUUGUGAUGCUAGUAUUGGAUUGAUAUAUGGUAUGUGUUAUCUGAUGAGGUGGACUGUUUUUUGGUAUGUGCUGAUGUUUCAGCAACUUGCAUUGUUUCCUUGUGUUUAAUAAUGUUUUGUCCUCUAGAAUUCUUACUUUUAUAAAGAGUUAAGAAGCUGAGCUGUGCUUCAUUGUGUUUCUCCAGUAUCUCUUCAAAUGAUGAAUGGGAGGUUAUUAGUAUGCUUGUCUUACUACCGCAGGUCUCCUUUGCCAUGUUCUUGAGGUUUUUCUUUGCUUCUUCCCCAUAUAUCUUCUUGCUAAAUAUUUCUUGAGCAUCCUUUCUUAUUUUGCGUUCAGAAGCUUGUGAGUUGUUAAAUUGUCUGUUCAAAUUGUUUUUGCAUUUUAAUCACCUUUUUUUUACUUAACAAAACUGGAGUCUAAACUCUGUUUGCAUGUUUAUAGGAUCUCUUUGUUUUUCUUAAUUAAAUAAAUUCCGGCCAAGAUAUACCAAGGAGUGUUCCUCUUGCUUUUGAUUCUUGUUGUUUCUAUUUGUACCAUCGACAAAAUACCCAUUUGUUUCAGCAUCAAGGAGGAUCUCUUUGACUGUAUGUUUCUCAGGGUGUCUUCAAGAAUUACAAGGGUUUGCUUUCAAGUGUAAUCAAAUGAUAACAGCUCUCCACAACUGGAAAAACACCAGAUUCAUCUUUAAUUUGCUUUACAUCUAUGCUAACUAAUUCUCAAGUAGAGGGUCCCAAGGCUCAUUUACGAGGGAAGUGUUUCUUCAGGGUCUUGGUGAUGUGACAUCUGGUUAAUCAUAUUUUUUCCUCAAGCUCUUAUAUCACAUUCUCUCUCUUGAAGUUGUCUGAUCCUCUGCUUUUGCAAUUUGAUUAGAACAAGCAAAGUUACAAGUGAGCCAACUAUUGUUUACUAAUGAUAUGGAUCUGCAAAUUUUUCCCGUGUGGCUAUCUGCUCUGCCUUCAUUGUGCUGUUAUAGGUUUUUCCAAAUGGCUUCUUUUCAAGUUCUCUAUAACCAGAGUAACAAGGUCAAGUUGGUUUUUGUUUGUGUGCUCUUGUUUAAGUUAAUUUUUAUAAAAUCCUGAAACUUCAACAGGAAUGAGAAUGGUGAAACGAGUCCUUGAUGCUUGGGGUUGCUUUGGGAUACUAGAUGAGUUUCUGUUCUGGUUGUAAUCUUUCCUGCGAAACCAUUAUUUUAUAUGAGGGUAAUUGAUGGAGCAGCUUCUUUUGGAGAUAUAUGUAAAGAUCAGAUGGCAAGUGUCUAGAAGGGUUCCUUUGCUUUUAAUUGAUGUCCUUUGCGUCACCUCUUGUUCUUUUCAUCAAUAUUUCUUGGCUUAGAGAUCUUUUCUGGGGCUGAUGAACUUGGAUGAAGCUAUACUUGAUGCAUGUGGUAGGCUUGACCUCCCCCCCAACUCUCCUGACCCUGUCUCUGUUGCUUAUGCUCAUUGUGUUUUAGGAACCAGUGGAUGGCAAUUGACCCAUUGAAAGUGUUGCUGGCUGCUCAGUUUAUGGCUGAGUCUGGCUUGGUCUUCCUAUUAAAUGGCAGUGACUACAUGGCUGUUGGAGUUAUUGAUGGAUGGCUAGUUAUUGUUUGGUGAAUUUGGUUUGCAGGGAUUACCAGCUGUGCUUCCCUUUGGUAUUUUGGCCUUUUGUUUUUUGCCUGAGCUUCUGCUAUUUGAAGUUAUGGUCCAAUCAUGUUGCAAUAUCAAAUACUGAAUUUUGCGUCAUGGUUUGGGUUAAGAUUGCCUUUGGCAAUAUGUUGGAUCUUGUAAAAUUGUCUUUCACUUCUGAAUACCCGUGUACCAAUCUGAUGAUUUUUGAAGGUGUUUGAUAUCUCCCGCAUCAUGUGCGUGUGAAAAACAAAAGUUGCUGUCGUUGGAAUUGUCAAGUUGCUUUGCAUGGAUCGUGGUUUCUGUUUUUCUUUAAACAUCUUCUUGUGUUGGACUGUCCUUGAAUUUUGGUUCCGUGGUUUCAGAUUGUGGUAGUGAACGUUGAUUUGUCAAGUGUUGUUCUAAGUGGAGCUACAGUUUUGCUAAGUAUGCAGCAAAUAUGAUUUUACAGCGUAAGGUUUUUGAAUGCUCGAUUCUAUGAUCUUUACCGGGGUUCGUUUGAUAUCCAUUGCUUUUAUGAUGUGCUUAGGCCUUUGGCUUUUUGGAAGAGCUUGCUCUUCUGCAUGCUUCUUGUUUCUCUGUGAGUGCUUGUUGGUACCUGUGUGUGGUUGAAUGCAUGUAACUCCGCCUGUGCUGCAUUUCAUAGCUCACAGCCGGUCUCAAGCCCGGGUUAAGGAGGAGAGAUGCAUGGCUAUAACAUAUGGUGAUGGAGUUAUGUUAUGCUUUGCUGGAAAUAGUUGUCCAUUUUAAUUUACCCUGCAUGUAAAUGUAUAUGCUUAUCUAUAUUGUUGCAAUAUUUUUUUAGCUUCCAGUUGAUUCAGCUCACUGGAUGAGAAAUCAUGAGAGAUGGUCAAGGCUCUUUCUGCCAACCAGUAAGUAACCGCUGUGAAAGACCGUGAUGCUGAAACUUGAAGGCGAUGGCGUGUCUUUUUUCCUCCGUGUAUUAAUUAAUUCUCGAUUUACUGUUGUAUAUAUCCGUGCACUGCACGAUUAAAUCAAUAGAAAGUAAGUUUUUCUUAUUCUUUUGGAA
Populus euphratica (Euphrates poplar) is the source of this 2644-nucleotide long non-coding RNA. RefSeq lists it as uncharacterized. The record is from RefSeq and is a predicted model, not a curated record. The transcript has 2 exons. NCBI's taxonomy places the organism in Eukaryota, Viridiplantae, Streptophyta, Magnoliopsida, Malpighiales, Salicaceae.